AAAAUUCAGCAGGGAGUGAGUGUGCAGGGCAUCCUAAGUGCUCUGCUUUCGCGGGGCUUUUGCAAAUGCAAAAAGUUUGGAGAAUAAGUGGUGGGCAAGACUGGUGCCAGCCGCCGCGGUAACACCAGCGUCCACGAGUGGCAACCGUUUUUAUUGGGCCUAAAGCGUCCGUAGCCGGUUUGGUAGAUUCUUUGUGAAAUUGUCAGGCUUAACCUGCCAACGCGCAAAGAAGACCGCCAAACUUGAAACCGGGAGGGGUUAGAGGUAUUCUUGGGGGAGCGGUAAAAUACAUCACUAGCGUUCAUGAAUAUAAAUCCUGGAUGUUUACUUUGUUAUAAUCCCAAGAGGACCACCUGUGGCGAAGGCGUCUAACCAGAACGGAUUUGACGGUGAGGGACGAAAGCUAGGGAAGCAAUCCGGAUUAGAUACGGGAAAUCAUAUCUGGUUUCUGGAGUUAUCUCGUGAAUUGCUUAUUAAAAACUAUCGCGAGAUGGCAAAAGAAAUCGCCAAAUGGUGAUUUACCCGCUAACUACCCAAGUAGUCCUAGCUGUAAACGCUGCAAGCUAGGUGUUGCGAAUUCCUAGAGAAUGCGCAGUGUCGAACCGAAGGUGUUAAGCUCGCCGCCUGGAAAGUAUGGUCGCAAGACUGAAACUUAAAGGAAUUGGCGGGGGAGCACUACAAGGGGUGCGGCGUGCGGUUUAAUCCAAUUCAACGCGAAGAAUCUCACCAGGAGCGACGGCAGGAUGAAGGUCAGUCUAAAGGGCUUACCUAACAAGCCAAGAGGUAGUGCAUGGCCGCCGUCAGCUCGUGCCGUAGGGUGUCCUGUAAACCUCGCGGAGUUUUCUGGAUUGCCCGAGUGACAAAAGUCAGGCAACGAGCGAGACCUGUGUUACAAUUGCUAACGAGUCUGCAAGACGAUCGACCCAUUAUAGAACUGCCUCUGAAAAGAGGAGAAAGUGCAGGCUACGGUAGGUCUGUAUGCUCCGAAUCUUCUGGGCUACACGCGCCAACAAUGGUAGAGACAUGGGAUACACUCCGAAAGAGAAGUAAUCCUCUAACUCUAUCAAGUCAGAUUGAGGCUGUACUCGCCUCAUGACGUGGAAUCCCUAGUAUCGGAGUUACCUACUCCGGUGAAUAGUCCCUG
This 1144-nucleotide ribosomal RNA is filed under the name uncultured euryarchaeote. RNAcentral describes it as "bacterial SSU rRNA". It matches the Rfam family "Archaeal small subunit ribosomal RNA", at positions 343 to 1332 of the family's 1478-position model. Lineage: Archaea; Methanobacteriati; Methanobacteriota. The record is from RNAcentral.